UGUAUAAAGAUUAGAAAAAAACAGAAAUCAAAUUCACUUAAAAUCUUCUCAGAUAUUUGCGGGUUCGUGGUAAAAAAAACCACUCCGUAUUGGUUUUUUAUUAAUAAUGUCGCAUAACAUAAUCUCUGUAGAUAAUAAAAACAUGUAUGGCAUCACGAUUUUAGUAUAAUUGCCCAUCGAUCAAUGAUAAAAUGUCUAACGAAUUAAAUGCUUCAAUUCACGAGAAACGUCUCACCUCGCGUGGACUUAUAUUUUACUGUAGUGCGAUAGAAAAUUGACGGGAUAAAUUGCUGAUUUCUUUAGCUUUUUUAACUCGGCACUCUCUCAUAUU
Molecule: non-coding RNA, 331 nt
Organism: Cinara cedri
Lineage: Eukaryota; Metazoa; Arthropoda; Insecta; Hemiptera; Aphididae
Source: the annotation of a GenBank genome assembly